UACGUAGGGUGCGAGCGUUAAUCGGAAUUACUGGGCGUAAAGCGUACGCAGGCGGCUUUGUAAGACAGGUGUGAAAUCCCCGGGCUCAACCUGGGAACUGCAUUUGUGACUGCAAAGCUAGAGUCUGUCAGAGGGGGGUGGAAUUCCACGUGUAGCAGUGAAAUGCGUAGAGAUGUGGAGGAACACCGAUGGCGAAGGCAGCCCCCUGGGAUGAGACUGACGCUCAUGUACGAAAGCGUGGGGAGCAAACAGG
This 253-nucleotide ribosomal RNA is filed under the name uncultured bacterium. Its description in RNAcentral is "partial 16S ribosomal RNA". It matches the Rfam family "Bacterial small subunit ribosomal RNA", at positions 524 to 776 of the family's 1533-position model. The record is from RNAcentral.